UACGUAGGGGGCAAGCGUUGUCCGGAUUUAUUGGGCGUAAAGAGCGUGUAGGCGGUCUGGUAGGUCCGUUGUGAAAACUCGAGGCUCAACCUCGAGACGCCGAUGGAAACCAUCAGACUAGAGUCCGGAAGAGGAGAGUGGAAUUCCUGGUGUAGCGGUGAAAUGCGUAGAUAUCGGGAGGAACACCUGUGGCGAAAGCGGCUCACUGGACCAUAACUGACGCUGAUGCACGAAAGCUGGGGGAGCAAACAGG
This 253-nucleotide ribosomal RNA is filed under the name uncultured bacterium. RNAcentral's name for it is "partial 16S ribosomal RNA". It matches the Rfam family "Bacterial small subunit ribosomal RNA", at positions 524 to 776 of the family's 1533-position model. The record is from RNAcentral.